Molecule: ribosomal RNA, 495 nt
Filed under: uncultured bacterium
Lineage: Bacteria
Description: partial 16S ribosomal RNA
Rfam family: Bacterial small subunit ribosomal RNA
Source: RNAcentral
GACGAACGCUGGCGGCGUGCCUAAUACAUGCAAGUAGAACGCUGAAGGAGGAGCUUGCUUCUCUGGAUGAGUUGCGAACGGGUGAGUAACGCGUAGGUAACCUGCCUGGUAGCGGGGGAUAACUAUUGGAAACGAUAGCUAAUACCGCAUAAUAGUAGAUGUUGCAUGACAUUUGCUUAAAAGGUGCAAUUGCAUCACUACCAGAUGGACCUGCGUUGUAUUAGCUAGUUGGUGAGGUAACGGCUCACCAAGGCAACGAUACAUAGCCGACCUGAGAGGGUGAUCGGCCACACUGGGACUGAGACACGGCCCAGACUCCUACGGGAGGCAGCAGUAGGGAAUCUUCGGCAAUGGACGGAAGUCUGACCGAGCAACGCCGCGUGAGUGAAGAAGGUUUUCGGAUCGUAAAGCUCUGUUGUAAGAGAAGAACGAGUGUGAGAGUGGAAAGUUCACAUUGUGACGGUAUCUUACCAGAAAGGGACGGCUAACUACGUG